AGAGCAUUUUUUUUUUCCUGCCAUUUAUCUCACAUUUUUCUUAUGAGGUUUACAUUUCUCUCUGUGUAUUUCCAUCAAUAAAAAAGAAAAUGAAGAAAAUCGAAUGAAUUCCUACAACUGGUAAUAACCAACACAUUUGAGGCAACAGUUUAAAAAAAAAAUAACAGUACCACAUAUUGAUUCCCAAUUCCCAUCAGAGCUUUGCAGUCAAAACAAAUGAAAAAAUAACUUA
RNAcentral lists this unclassified non-coding RNA (232 nucleotides) under Hevea brasiliensis (rubber tree). The record is from RNAcentral. Lineage: Eukaryota; Viridiplantae; Streptophyta; Magnoliopsida; Malpighiales; Euphorbiaceae.